CGCAGCCGCGGUAAUUCCAGCUCCAAUAGCGUAUAUUAAAGUUGUUGCAGUUAAAAAGCUCGUAGUUGAAUUUCGGGAUCAAUACGUCGGUCGUGCUUCGGUACGUACUGGCGUAAUUGAUUUCUCCCUUCUGACGAACCAUGAUGUCAUUAACUUGGUGUCAUGGGAAAUCAGGACUGUUACUUUGAAAAAAUUAGAGUGUUUAAAGCAAGCUAACGCUUGAAUACAUUAGCAUGGAAUAAUGAGAUAGGACGUUUGAUUCUAUUUUGUUGGUUUCUAGGAUCGACGUAAUGAUUAAUAGGGAUAGUUGGGGGCAUUAGUAUUCAAUUGUCAGAGGUGAAAUUCUUGGAUUUAUUGAAGACUAACUACUGCGAAAGCAUUUGCCAAGGAUGUUUUCAUUAAUCAAGAACGAAAGUUAGGGGAUCGAAGACGAUCAGAUACCGUCGUAGUCUUAACCAUAAACUAUGCCGACUAGGGAUCGGAUGAUGUUAAUUUUUAAUUGACU
RNAcentral lists this ribosomal RNA (505 nucleotides) under uncultured Glomus. Its description in RNAcentral is "SSU rRNA". It matches the Rfam family "Eukaryotic small subunit ribosomal RNA", at positions 569 to 1076 of the family's 1831-position model. The record is from RNAcentral. Lineage: Eukaryota; Fungi; Glomeromycota; Glomeromycetes; Glomerales; Glomeraceae.